UGGUGGAGACGUCAUCUCACGUGCGUUGGGCGGUGGGCACCUCUCUGCCUUGUUUGUGUCUCCUCACGGCAGCUUCUGAGCUUAACGGUGUGGUCUGGCAUGGGGGUCUUGGUGCUUUCUGCUGCCUUUUCGGUUGCUGACCCCAUCCGGGUGGUGAGUUCGAGCUCUGAGGCUUGUUGAAGGAGAGCGGACCUCACCACGUAGUCCAGACUGGCUUGGGAUCGUGCCCUGGUUUUGGGGGUAAUAAGGAGGUUUUGGCUGCUUCUGGCAUGUCAUUUUUCCACCUUUUUUUUUGUGAGCACAUCCACUGACUCGGGGCCGUCUCGGUUUUGAGGAGCGUGCUGCCGCCUCGAAGAUGCGAGCUCAGGAGCCCUGAGACCGGGGUAGGGGGGCAAUUAUGGAAGUGCCGAUGAACUUGUGUCCCUCACAGGAACGAAAGAGCCCUUCCCAAAAUAUAUAUGGGGUGUUUUCCCCCAUCGACUCAAGCACACCUUUAUUGAGAUGGCUGGAAGAGACCCCGAGGUCCGUAGGGCCCUGGGACCCCUCGGGGCCAGCGCCGUGCCGGAGGCUGGAGCUCGCCGACACCGGCAGAGAGGCGGAGUGGAUCCCGACGCUUGUUUACUGCGGUGCGAGCUGAGCUGUAGGAGGGAAGGAUUUGGUAUUCAGCUUGCUGAAAGCUCUGCCGAAGACCUAAUUAACUGAAGUGUUGUGUAUAAAGGAAGCCUUUAUGAAGCCCUGAGCGCCUCCAGGACUCCGGCGAAGACGCCGAGAGCCGGCGGAACGUCUCAUGGAGCGGAGAGGCUCGCUUUCGUGAUGGGGAUGCGCUGGUGGGACCUGGCGGCAGAGUACUGGUAGGGCAGGAGGGCUAUAAAUGCCUCCUUCAGCAGCAUCUUUGCGGAAGGAAGCGGAAGGUCUAGGUCUCCAUUUCUUGCUGGGUCGGGAUUUGUCACCCGCGGUGCCGGCCCGGCUUUCCCCUGCGGCGUGUUUUCCCUCUGGCCUCCUCCCCGCGCCGUCCUGUUCGGCCUCGGCCGGUCCCGCUCGCCGAAAUUCAGCUGUUGGGAGAAACAUCUUCGGUUGUGUCUCUUCUCCACCCGCUUCCACAUCUGCGUUGCUUGAUCGGCUCCACGUUUCCCUUAAAGCUGCCUGAAUAAUUCACCUUGACUAAGAGCAAACGGCAGCGCUGGCCCCGGAGGAGAGAUUUCCGCGAACGCCAAGCGCCCGAAAGCGGCGGAAAGGGGAUCUGUGGCGCCCCGAACCCGGCAGCAAACCGAGCCGGGCCUCCGAGUCGGGACGCGGAAGCUCAAUCCGUCGGGACCGGCAUGUCCGGCUACACGAAACCCAGGUCUCUCUUACACGCGGGGGGGAUUUGCACCAGCCUGCUCCCGCCCGCCGGCUCGGACGGAGCAGAGCUCCCGCGUCGGAAAGCUGAGACGCUCCAGGACGGCUAAGAGGAUCAUUUUCCUUAAGCAGGUUUGAAACCCCUCCACUUUUUUUCUUUUUUUUCUUUUUAAAUAGUCAAAAAAGUCGCCUGGGAUUAGGCCCGCCUUAACUCCUUCCCACGCUGCGUGCUCGAACUCUUGCAGCCUUGCACUGAAAAUCCUUAGCAGGGAGGAACUCCAGGAGCUGCCCUACUUCUAUAAAGCAGUAAAUCAAAUCCUCCAGCGUCUGGU
Long non-coding RNA from Dromaius novaehollandiae (emu), 1670 nucleotides. RefSeq lists it as uncharacterized. Lineage: Eukaryota; Metazoa; Chordata; Aves; Casuariiformes; Dromaiidae. The transcript is spliced from 2 exons. The record is from RefSeq and is a predicted model, not a curated record.